GUAGUACUCCCUCCGUCUAACAAAAGAUGUCUUAAGUUUGUCAAAAUUUAAAUGUAUCCAGACAUUAUUUAUUGUAUAAAUACAUUUAAAUUUAGUCAAAGUUGAGAAAUCAUUUGUUGGACGAAGGAAAUACUUG
Molecule: non-coding RNA, 136 nt
Organism: Brachypodium distachyon (stiff brome)
Lineage: Eukaryota; Viridiplantae; Streptophyta; Magnoliopsida; Poales; Poaceae
Source: Rfam